Molecule: ribosomal RNA, 406 nt
Filed under: uncultured bacterium
Lineage: Bacteria
Description: partial 16S ribosomal RNA
Rfam family: Bacterial small subunit ribosomal RNA
Source: RNAcentral
AUUGAACGCUGGCGGCAGGCCUAACACAUGCAAGUCGGGCGAGAGGCGGACGGGUGAGUAAUGUAUGGGGAUCUGCAUGAUGGCGGGGGAUAACUACUGGAAACGGUAGCUAAUACCGCAUACAAUCCGAUGAAACCAUAUGGGAUUAGCUAGUAGGUAAGGUAACGGCUUACCUAGGCGACGAUCCCUAGCUGGUCGGAGAGGAUGAUCAGCCACACUGUGACCAAGACACGGCCCAGACUCCUACGGGAGGCAGCAGUGGGGAAGAAUGCACAAUGGGCGCAAGCCUGAUGCAGCCAUGCCGCGUGUAUGAAGAAGGCCUUCGGGUUGUAAAGUACUUUCAGUCGGGAGGCGUUACCGACAGAAGAAGCACCGGCUAACUCCGUGCCAGCAGCCGCGGUAAUAC